GCGGUCGUGGUGGAAUCGGCAGACACGCUAUCUUGAGGGGGUAGUGGUCUUUUGACCGUGCGAGUUCAAGUCUCGCCGACCGCACCA
RNAcentral lists this transfer RNA (87 nucleotides) under Vulcanibacillus modesticaldus. RNAcentral's name for it is "tRNA-Leu". It matches the Rfam family "tRNA". From Rfam's summary of the family: Transfer RNA (tRNA) molecules are approximately 80 nucleotides in length. Their secondary structure includes four short double-helical elements and three loops (D, anti-codon, and T loops). Further hydrogen bonds mediate the characteristic L-shaped molecular structure. tRNAs have two regions of fundamental functional importance: the anti-codon, which is responsible for specific mRNA codon recognition, and the 3' end, to which the tRNAs corresponding amino acid is attached (by aminoacyl-tRNA synthetases). tRNAs cope with the degeneracy of the genetic code in two manners: having more than one tRNA (with a specific anti-codon) for a particular amino acid; and 'wobble' base-pairing, i.e. permitting non-standard base-pairing at the 3rd anti-codon position. The record is from RNAcentral. Lineage: Bacteria; Bacillati; Bacillota; Bacilli; Caryophanales; Bacillaceae.